AACGAACGCUGGCGGCAUGCCUAACACAUGCAAGUCGAACGAGACCUUCGGGUCUAGUGGCGCACGGGUGCGUAACGCGUGGGAACCUGCCCUUAGGUUCGGAAUAACUCCCCGAAAGGGGUGCUAAUACCGGAUAAUGUCCUCGGACCAAAGAUUUAUCGCCUUUGGAUGGGCCCGCGUUGGAUUAGCUUGUUGGUAGGGUAAAAGCCUAUCAAGGCGACGAUCCAUAGCUGGUCUGAGAGGAUGAUCAGCCACACUGGGACUGAGACACGGCCCAGACUCCUACGGGAGGCAGCAGUGGGGAAUAUUGGACAAUGGGCGAAGGCCUGAUCCAGCAAUGCCGCGUGAGUGAUGAAGGCCUUAGGGUUGUAAAGCUCUUUUACCCGGGAUGAUAAUGACGGUACCGGGAGAAUAAGCUCCGGCUAACUCCGUG
This 433-nucleotide ribosomal RNA is filed under the name uncultured bacterium. RNAcentral's name for it is "partial 16S ribosomal RNA". It matches the Rfam family "Bacterial small subunit ribosomal RNA", at positions 29 to 507 of the family's 1533-position model. The record is from RNAcentral.